This 75-nucleotide transfer RNA is filed under the name Microbotryum lychnidis-dioicae p1A1 Lamole. Its description in RNAcentral is "tRNA-Tyr (GTA) (tRNA-Tyr-GTA-2-1)". It matches the Rfam family "tRNA". Rfam says of the family: Transfer RNA (tRNA) molecules are approximately 80 nucleotides in length. Their secondary structure includes four short double-helical elements and three loops (D, anti-codon, and T loops). Further hydrogen bonds mediate the characteristic L-shaped molecular structure. tRNAs have two regions of fundamental functional importance: the anti-codon, which is responsible for specific mRNA codon recognition, and the 3' end, to which the tRNAs corresponding amino acid is attached (by aminoacyl-tRNA synthetases). tRNAs cope with the degeneracy of the genetic code in two manners: having more than one tRNA (with a specific anti-codon) for a particular amino acid; and 'wobble' base-pairing, i.e. permitting non-standard base-pairing at the 3rd anti-codon position. Lineage: Eukaryota; Fungi; Basidiomycota; Microbotryomycetes; Microbotryales; Microbotryaceae. The record is from RNAcentral.
CCCGCCAUAGCUCAGCUUUGGAAGAGCAUCAGACUGUAAAUCUGAGGGUCCGCGGUUCGAUCCCGCGUGGCGGGA